This 64-nucleotide transfer RNA is filed under the name Euxiphydria potanini. RNAcentral describes it as "tRNA-Ala". Lineage: Eukaryota; Metazoa; Arthropoda; Insecta; Hymenoptera; Xiphydriidae. The record is from RNAcentral. RNAcentral also lists the same sequence under 1 other name.
AGGAUAAAAGUUUAAAACAAUUGAAUUGCAUUCAAUAAAUAUUAAUAUAAAUUAAUUUAUCUUA